Molecule: long non-coding RNA, 479 nt
Filed under: Homo sapiens (human)
Lineage: Eukaryota; Metazoa; Chordata; Mammalia; Primates; Hominidae
Description: HSALNT0140568
Source: RNAcentral
CUCUCCUCAGAUGCUCCCGCCGUCCUGCCGAGAACACCAGCUUCCCACUCGCUUCCUGGACGGAUGGCAGCAUACCAGUAUGGAAGAAGGAAUAUGACUUGAGGAUUGUGAUUGGAAGUAACUAAUUCUUUGUACAAGCUAUCCUGCAACACCUAACUGAAUUACAUCUUGUUAGGGACUUCCAAAAACAGAUCUGUCAAGAGGUAAUAAGCGAGUCCUACCAAACAUGACUUUUCUCUGCGGUCUUCACUACCUCCUUGGACAGAACUCUGGAUCCAGUUAACAGCAGAAGGGGGAAAGAAGCAGCAAUAUUUCAAAUGUCCAUACUCUGAUCUGCAAAAGACACCGAGUAGGUAGAAGAAAACUGCAUUUUACUUCAGCUACCUAGAAGCAUAUGUAUAGAUCAUCAUCAUUGUAAAGAGGCAAACUUGUCACCAUCCAUCCAGUGCAUAAUUUAAUCGCACCCAUUAACUGUGGAC